ACGGAAGGCAGCAGUGGGGAAUAUUGGGCAAUGGGCGAAAGCCUGACCCAGCAACGCCGCGUGAAGGAAGAAGGUCUUCGGAUUGUAAACUUCUUUUAUGAGGGACGAAGGACGUGACGGUACCUCAUGAAUAAGCCACGGCUAACUACGUGCCAGCAGCCGCGGUAAUACGUAGGUGGCAAGCGUUAUCCGGAUUUACUGGGUGUAAAGGGCGCGUAGGCGGGGAUGCAAGUCAGAUGUGAAAUCUAUGGGCUUAACCCAUAAACUGCAUUUGAAACUGUAUCUCUUGAGUGCUGGAGAGGUAGAUGGAAUUCCUUGUGUAGCGGUGAAAUGCGUAGAUAUCAGGAGGAACACCGGUGGCGAAGGCGGCUUGCUGGGCUUUUACUGACGCUGAGGCUCGAAAGCGUGGGUAGCAAACAGGAUUAGAUACCCUGGUA
The sequence is a ribosomal RNA, 437 nucleotides long. It matches the Rfam family "Bacterial small subunit ribosomal RNA", at positions 341 to 792 of the family's 1533-position model.